GCACUAAAAGCUACUAACAAUGGAAACCUGAUGUCAAACUGCAAUGUCACAUUGACAAUAUUGUACUUACAUUGGGAAUAUGAGCUCUUUGAAGAUAUUUUCAUAUUUUUAAAAUGUAUUUAUUGUCUUUCACCAGACCUGGGUCAGAGCCAAAAGCCAGAUAACAGACCACAGGGACCAUGUUGCUGAAAAGCUCUUGCUGUUGCCAAGUGCCCUUUCUGCAGAAACACUUCCCUUGACAGUUCUGUCUUGCAGUUGGUGGUUGCCAGCUCCUGGCAGACCCUGGGAGGUAGUGUGAUGGUUCAAGUGACUGGAUGCCUGCCAGGGCCACCACAGGAGAGACAUGAAUUGAACUUUUAGCUUCCAGUGUGGACCACAGACCCAGGACUGUUGCAGUCAUUUAGCUACAGACCUUGCUUGAAGCUAACAGACCCCAAAAUACCCCUCUUUUAGCCCUGAAUAGGGAGCUGCAUUGAUGGAAAAAUAAAUGAGUCUGUUGAGUGAUCUCUCCCUUGCUUGUACCUGUGAAGAGCUUCCUGUUGUCUUAGAACGUGAUCUUCAUUAAGACCUUAUUAAGACCAUUUCUUAUUCCCAAGAUGUAACUGAUUGCAAGAAGAGAGACUGAUCACAUUGGACUGCAGAAAAUCCAGAGACUCAUCACCUGCUCAGCAAAGUCAGUUCUAGCACUCGGGAGCUCCAGGCAGCUUGAUCAGGGGUGUGGGUGGGGGUAGGGAGUUGGCUGUUACGGGCCCCCCAAGUUGAGGGAAAGAAGGAUUGUAGACAAAGUCUUCCAGGAAGCCUUACUGAAGAGAAAGAAAAGAGACACAAUUGAAAAGGUGGGCUUUGGACUGUAUGGUCUAGAGAAAUGCUUCUAAUUCACAGUGCUGUGAUAACAUGACUAAGCAUGAUUUAGGAUACUACAAAUAUAUUGAAUUUUCAAAAUAUACAAAGACACUUGCUGAUAACAUUUUUCUUGAUGGAAGCAUUUUACAUUUUUAACAUGUGAUUUGUUUUAGCACAGUUUUAUAUUUACAGCUGCAAACAUAGCACAGGAGGUCCCCACCUGCCUGCCCCCAGCGUCUCCUGAUGUCAUCAUCUUAUACUACAGUGACACCUUUACCAAAAGAAGCCACAGCACUGUUAACUAAGCCCCAAUUUCUGUUCACACUUUCCCUAGUGUUUCCACCAAUGUCCUUUUCUGCUCAGGAUCCAGUGCAUGCCAGUCUCCUCUGAUGUUCUGAGUUUGUGAUGCCCUGUGUUUCUGAGGUGUGUUAGUCAGGUGCUGGUGUAAAAACCCCUUGGUUGGACUUUGCUGUUGCUUAAAUUAUGCUGAAUUCCAUCUU
Molecule: long non-coding RNA, 1343 nt
Organism: Ochotona princeps (American pika)
Lineage: Eukaryota; Metazoa; Chordata; Mammalia; Lagomorpha; Ochotonidae
Exons: 5
Source: RefSeq, a predicted model, not a curated record